This 369-nucleotide ribosomal RNA is filed under the name uncultured bacterium. Its description in RNAcentral is "partial 16S ribosomal RNA". It matches the Rfam family "Bacterial small subunit ribosomal RNA", at positions 523 to 894 of the family's 1533-position model. The record is from RNAcentral.
AUACGGAAGGUCCGGGCGUUAUCCGGAUUUAUUGGGUUUAAAGGGAGCGCAGGCGGAGAUGCGAGCGUGACGUCAAAUUUCGGGGCUCAACCCCGUCUCGCGUCGCGAACUGCGUCCCUUGGUUGCGGGAAGGGGAGGCGGAACUCGUGGUGUAGCGGUGAAAUGCAUAGAUAUCACGAAGAACUCCGAUCGCGAAGGCAGCCUUCCGGCCCGUCAACGACGCUCAUGCUCGAAGGUGCGGGUAUCAAACAGGAUUAGAUACCCUGGUAGUCCGCACAGUAAACGAUGGACACCCGCGGUUUGGCCUAUAUGGCUGAGCCGCCAAGCGAAAGCGUUAAGUGUCCCACCUGGGGAGUACGCCGGCAACGG